This 492-nucleotide ribosomal RNA is filed under the name uncultured bacterium. Its description in RNAcentral is "partial 16S ribosomal RNA". It matches the Rfam family "Bacterial small subunit ribosomal RNA", at positions 29 to 507 of the family's 1533-position model. The record is from RNAcentral.
AGUGAACGCUGGCGGUAGGCCUAACACAUGCAAGUCGAACGGCAGCACAGUAAGAGCUUGCUCUUACGGGUGGCGGGUGGCGGACGGGUGAGGAAUACAUCGGAAUCUACUUUUUCGUGGGGGAUAACGUAGGGAAACUUACGCUAAUACCGCAUACGACCUACGGGUGAAAGCAGGGGAUCUUCGGACCUUGCGCGAUUGAAUGAGCCGAUGUCGGAUUAGCUAGUUGGCGGGGUAAAGGCCCACCAAGGCGACGAUCCGUAGCUGGUCUGAGAGGAUGAUCAGCCACACUGGAACUGAGACACGGUCCAGACUCCUACGGGAGGCAGCAGUGGGGAAUAUUGGACAAUGGGCGCAAGCCUGAUCCAGCCAUACCGCGUGGGUGAAGAAGGCCUUCGGGUUGUAAAGCCCUUUUGUUGGGAAAGAAAAGCAGCAGGUUAAUACCCCGCUGUUCUGACGGUACCAAAAGAAUAAGCACCGGCUAACUUCGUG